Molecule: long non-coding RNA, 422 nt
Filed under: Malus domestica (apple)
Lineage: Eukaryota; Viridiplantae; Streptophyta; Magnoliopsida; Rosales; Rosaceae
Description: long non-coding RNA (MDOM_LNC001329)
Source: RNAcentral
CAAAGGGAAAGGAAAGGAAACGUCUACAAAUAAAUUAAUUAUUUGUUUAGUGAAUAUUUAAUAAAAAAUAUUAAAGAGAUAAAUGAUGAUUAUGUGAAGAAAUAACCAAGGAAAAUGAUAAGUCUUUGGUAUCCAAGUCAUUUUAAUUUUAAUUCCUAUCUAUUCAUCUUCCAAUGAAAUGUUCACGUGAAGAAAUAACAAGGGAAAGGAAUAGUGUGGUAGUAAAUUAAUUAUUUGUUCAAUGAAUAUCUAAUAAAAUGAUGAUUAAAUAGAUAAAUUACUCACUUUAAUUUGUUUCAUCUUAACAUUAUGGAUAUUUUUAUAAUAAGUAAUAUUAUUAUCAAUAUUUUUAUAUACAAACAAAUUUACAUUCUUUAACGAAUUUAAAAAAAAUCGAACUGAAAACCAUACUGUCUAUGCCU